CCUACGGGCCGCAGCAGUGGGGAACAUUGCACAAUGGGCGCAAGCCUGAUGCAGCCAUGCCGCGUGUGUGAAGAAGGCCUUCGGGUUGUAAAGCACUUUCAGCGGGGAGGAAGGCGUUAAGGUUAAUAACCUCAUCGAUUGACGUUACCCGCAGAAGUAGCACCGGCUAACUCCGUGCCAGCAGCCGCGGUAAUACGGAGGGUGCAAGCGUUAAUCGGAAUUACUGGGCGUAAAGCGCACGCAGGCGGUCUGUCAAGUCGGAUGUGAAAUCCCCGGGCUCAACCUGGGAACUGCAUUCGAAACUGGCAGGCUAGAGUCUUGUAGAAGGGGGUAGAAUUCCAGGUGUAGCGGUGAAAUGCGUAGUGAUCUGGAGGAAUACCGGUGGCGAAGGCGGCCCCCUGGACAAAGACUGACGCUCAGGUGCGAAAGCGUGGGGAGCAAACAGGAUUAGAUACCCCAGUAGUC
Molecule: ribosomal RNA, 465 nt
Filed under: uncultured bacterium
Lineage: Bacteria
Description: bacterial SSU rRNA
Rfam family: Bacterial small subunit ribosomal RNA
Source: RNAcentral